AAAGAUGAAUCAAAGAAGGUAAUAAUCCUGUAGUCGAAAAUGUUGUCUCUCUUGAGUGGAUCCUGAGUACGACGGAGCACGUGAAAUUCCGUCGGAAUCUGGGAGGACCAUCUCCUAAGGCUAAAUACUCUCUAGUGACCGAUAGUGAACCAGUACCGUGAGGGAAAGGUGAAAAGCACCCCGGAAGGGGAGUGAAAUAGAACCUGAAACCGUGUGCUUACAAGUAGUCAGAGCCCGUUAAUGGGUGAUGGCGUGCCUUUUGUAGAAUGAACCGGCGAGUUACGAUUUGAUGCAAGGUUAAGCAGUAAAUGUGGAGCCGUAGCGAAAGCGAGUCUGAAUAGGGCGUUUAGUAUUUGGUCGUAGACCCGAAACCAGGUGAUCUACCCUUGGUCAGGUUGAAGUUCAGGUAACACUGAAUGGAGGACCGAACCGACUUACGUUGAAAAGUGAGCGGAUGAACUGAGGGUAGCGGAGAAAUUCCAAUCGAACCUGGAGAUAGCUGGUUCUCUCCGAAAUAGCUUUAGGGCUAGCCUCAAGUGAUGAUUAUUGGAGGUAGAGCACUGUUUGGACGAGGGGCCCCUCUCGGGUUACCGAAUUCAGACAAACUCCGAAUGCCAAUUAAUUUAACUUGGGAGUCAGAACAUGGGUGAUAAGGUCCGUGUUCGAAAGGGAAACAGCCCAGACCACCAGCUAAGGUCCCAAAAUAUAUGUUAAGUGGAAAAGGAUGUGGCGUUGCCCAGACAACUAGGAUGUUGGCUUAGAAGCAGCCAUCAUUUAAAGAGUGCGUAAUAGCUCACUAGUCGAGUGACACUGCGCCGAAAAUGUACCGGGGCUAAACAUAUUACCGAAGCUGUGGAUUGUCCUUUGGACAAUGGUAGGAGAGCGUUCUAAGGGCGUUGAAGCAUGAUCGUAAGGACAUGUGGAGCGCUUAGAAGUGAGAAUGCCGGUGUGAGUAGCGAAAGACGGGUGAGAAUCCCGUCCACCGAUUGACUAAGGUUUCCAGAGGAAGGCUCGUCCGCUCUGGGUUAGUCGGGUCCUAAGCUGAGGCCGACAGGCGUAGGCGAUGGAUAACAGGUUGAUAUUCCUGUACCACCUAUAAUCGUUUUAAUCGAUGGGGGGACGCAGUAGGAUAGGCGAAGCGUGCGAUUGGAUUGCACGUCUAAGCAGUAAGGCUGAGUAUUAGGCAAAUCCGGUACUCGUUAAGGCUGAGCUGUGAUGGGGAGAAGACAUUGUGUCUUCGAGUCGUUGAUUUCACACUGCCGAGAAAAGCCUCUAGAUAGAAAAUAGGUGCCCGUACCGCAAACCGACACAGGUAGUCAAGAUGAGAAUUCUAAGGUGAGCGAGCGAACUCUCGUUAAGGAACUCGGCAAAAUGACCCCGUAACUUCGGGAGAAGGGGUGCUCUUUAGGGUUAACGCCCAGAAGAGCCGCAGUGAAUAGGCCCAAGCGACUGUUUAUCAAAAACACAGGUCUCUGCUAAACCGUAAGGUGAUGUAUAGGGGCUGACGCCUGCCCGGUGCUGGAAGGUUAAGAGGAGUGGUUAGCUUCUGCGAAGCUACGAAUCGAAGCCCCAGUAAACGGCGGCCGUAACUAUAACGGUCCUAAGGUAGCGAAAUUCCUUGUCGGGUAAGUUCCGACCCGCACGAAAGGCGUAACGAUUUGGGCACUGUCUCAACGAGAGACUCGGUGAAAUCAUAGUACCUGUGAAGAUGCAGGUUACCCGCGACAGGACGGAAAGACCCCGUGGAGCUUUACUGUAGCCUGAUAUUGAAAUUCGGCACAGCUUGUACAGGAUAGGUAGGAGCCUUUGAAACGUGAGCGCUAGCUUACGUGGAGGCGCUGGUGGGAUACUACCCUAGCUGUGUUGGCUUUCUAACCCGCACCACUUAUCGUGGUGGGAGACAGUGUCAGGCGGGCAGUUUGACUGGGGCGGUCGCCUCCUAAAAGGUAACGGAGGCGCUCAAAGGUUCCCUCAGAAUGGUUGGAAAUCAUUCAUAGAGUGUAAAGGCAUAAGGGAGCUUGACUGCGAGACCUACAAGUCGAGCAGGGUCGAAAGACGGACUUAGUGAUCCGGUGGUUCCGCAUGGAAGGGCCAUCGCUCAACGGAUAAAAGCUACCCCGGGGAUAACAGGCUUAUCUCCCCCAAGAGUUCACAUCGACGGGGAGGUUUGGCACCUCGAUGUCGGCUCAUCGCAUCCUGGGGCUGUAGUCGGUCCCAAGGGUUGGGCUGUUCGCCCAUUAAAGCGGUACGCGAGCUGGGUUCAGAACGUCGUGAGACAGUUCGGUCCCUAUCCGUCGUGGGCGUAGGAAAUUUGAGAGGAGCUGUCCUUAGUACGAGAGGACCGGGAUGGACAUACCUCUGGUGUACCAGUUGUCGU
RNAcentral lists this ribosomal RNA (2377 nucleotides) under Staphylococcus aureus. RNAcentral's name for it is "partial 23S ribosomal RNA". It matches the Rfam family "Bacterial large subunit ribosomal RNA", at positions 346 to 2727 of the family's 2925-position model. Lineage: Bacteria; Bacillati; Bacillota; Bacilli; Caryophanales; Staphylococcaceae. The record is from RNAcentral.